GUAGGGAAUAUUGGUCAAUGGACGAAAGUCUGAACCAGCCAUUCCGCGUGCAGGAAGAAGAUUCUAUGGAUUGUAAACUGCUUUUAGCAGAGAAGAAACGCCUUCAUUGAUGAGGGUUUGACGGUAUCUGCGGAAUAAGCACCGGCUAACUCCGUGCCAGCAGCCGCGGUAAUACGGGGGGUGCAAGCGUUAUCCGGAAUCACUGGGUUUAAAGGGUGCGUAGGCGGGAAAUUAAGUUAGUGGUGAAAGUCUGUUGCUUAACGAUAGAAUUGCCGUUGAUACUGAUUUUCUUGAAUUGGGUUGAGGUUAGCGGAAUGUGACAUGUAGCGGUGAAAUGCAUAGAUAUGUCAUGGAACACCAAUUGCGAAGGCAGCUAGCUGGGCCUUGAUUGACGCUGAGGCACGAAAGCGUGGGUAGCGAACAGGAUUAGAAACCCGGGUAGUCC
Molecule: ribosomal RNA, 445 nt
Filed under: uncultured bacterium
Lineage: Bacteria
Description: partial 16S ribosomal RNA
Rfam family: Bacterial small subunit ribosomal RNA
Source: RNAcentral